This 114-nucleotide ribosomal RNA is filed under the name Acanthosepion pharaonis. The record is from RNAcentral. Lineage: Eukaryota; Metazoa; Mollusca; Cephalopoda; Sepiida; Sepiidae.
UUACGGCCACAUCACGUUGAAACACCGGUACCCGUACGAUCACUGAAGUUAAACAACGUCGAACCUGGUCAGUACUUAGAUGGGUGACCUCUUGAGAAUAUCACGUGCUGUAAG